RNAcentral lists this ribosomal RNA (267 nucleotides) under Triticum aestivum (bread wheat). Its description in RNAcentral is "partial small subunit ribosomal RNA". The record is from RNAcentral. Lineage: Eukaryota; Viridiplantae; Streptophyta; Magnoliopsida; Poales; Poaceae.
AUGGUGGUGGAUCUGACCCCGAGGCAGCCGGCCAAGGCCUAUGGCGGCGAGGGCGGCGCCUACUAUGUGUGGAGCCCUGCGGAGCUACCCAUGCUUGGCGUCGUCUUCAUCGGUGCCGCCAAGAUCUCCCUCAUGGCAGACGCGGCUGGGCAUCACGCUGGACUGCGCCCACGCGCUGGAGUUCCUCCACGAGCACACCUCCCCCGUCGUCAUCCACCACGACUUCAACUGCAGCAUCGUCCUCAUCGUCCACAUCGAAUUCCGUAG